This 460-nucleotide ribosomal RNA is filed under the name uncultured bacterium. RNAcentral's name for it is "partial 16S ribosomal RNA". It matches the Rfam family "Bacterial small subunit ribosomal RNA", at positions 338 to 795 of the family's 1533-position model. The record is from RNAcentral.
CCUACGGGCGGCUGCAGUGAGGAAUAUUGGUCAAUGGACGAGAGUCUGAACCAGCCAAGUAGCGUGAAGGAUGACUGCCCUAUGGGUUGUAAACUUCUUUUAUAUGGGAAUAAAAUGUUCCACGUGUGGGAUUUUGUAUGUACCAUAUGAAUAAGGAUCGGCUAACUCCGUGCCAGCAGCCGCGGUAAUACGGAGGAUCCGAGCGUUAUCCGGAUUUAUUGGGUUUAAAGGGAGCGUAGGUGGAUUGUUAAGUCAGUUGUGAAAGUUUGCGGCUCAACCGUAAAAUUGCAGUUGAAACUGGCAGUCUUGAGUACAGUAGAGGUGGGCGGAAGUCGUGGUGUAGCGGUGAAAUGCUUAGAUAUCACGAAGAACUCCGAUUGCGAAGGCAGUUCACUGGACUGCAACUGACACUGAGGCUCGAAAGUGUGGGUAUCAAACAGGAUUAGAUACCCUUGUAGUC